AGUCGAACGAAAAGUGAUUUAGUUUACUAAUGAUCUUUUAGUGGCGGACGGGUUAGUAACGCGUGAGCAACCUGCCUUAAAGAGGGGGAUAGUCCUGGGAAACUGGGUUUAAUACCGCAUAAGCUCUACGGAGUAAAGUGGCCUUCGGGUCACGCUUUAAGAUGGGCUCGCGUCCUAUCAGCUUGUUGGUGAGGUAAAAGCUCACCAAGGCUACGACGGGUAGUUGGUCUGAGAGGACGAUCAGCAACACUGGAACUGAGACACGGUCCAGACACCUACGGGUGGCAGCAGUCGAGAAUCAUUCACAAUGGACGAAAGUCUGAUGGUGCAACGCCGCGUGUGGGAUGAAGGCCUUAGGGUCGUAAACCACUGUCAUGUGAGAGUAAGGCAUAUUAGUUAAUACCUAGUAUGUUUGAUAGUAUCACAAGAGGAAGGGACGGCUAACUUCGUGCCAGCAGCCGCGGUAAUACGAAGGUCCCGAGCGUUAUUCGGAAUCACUGGGCGUAAAGGGAGCGUAGGCUGUACGGUAAGUCAGAUGUGAAAUCUCAGAGCUCAACUCUGAAACUGCAUCCGAUACUGCCGUACUAGAGUAAUGGAGGGGUAACUGGAAUUCUCGGUGUAGCAGUGAAAUGCGUAGAUAUCGAGAGGAAGACCAACGGCGAAGGCAGGUUACUGGACAUUUACUGACGCUGAGGCUCGAAGGCUAGGGUAGCGAAAGGGAUUAGAUACCCCUGUAGUCCUAGCAGUAAACGAUGUGCGCUUGGUGUGGGAAGGUUCGACCCUUUCCGUGCCGGAGCUAACGCGUUAAGCGCACCGCCUGGGGAGUACGGUCGCAAGACUAAAACUCAAAGAAAUUGACGGGGACCCGCACAAGCGGUGGAGUAUGUGGCUU
RNAcentral lists this ribosomal RNA (892 nucleotides) under marine sponge bacterium plateOTU10. Its description in RNAcentral is "bacterial SSU rRNA". It matches the Rfam family "Bacterial small subunit ribosomal RNA", at positions 60 to 947 of the family's 1533-position model. The record is from RNAcentral.